CUAACUUCCUCCACCAUCUCUCCAUCAAACACUUCAUCUUUUCACUCACAAACAAUCAUCCACCAUUCCUUUUUUUCUUGCCAAACAACCAUGGUUGCACACUCUUUCCGUCGCCGACAACAAUGAUAUUACAAAGCACAAAAAAAUAUCGGAGCCGACGAACGCCGAUACUGCUUUAACUCCUCACCAACUCGGAUUCAACAAACCACUAUUCCAUAACUUGAUACCACAGUGCUCAACAUAACCUCAUCUUAUUUCCGUCAAACACC
Molecule: long non-coding RNA, 269 nt
Filed under: Lathyrus oleraceus (garden pea)
Lineage: Eukaryota; Viridiplantae; Streptophyta; Magnoliopsida; Fabales; Fabaceae
Description: Pisum sativum (pea) long non-coding RNA (PSAT_LNC036798)
Source: RNAcentral